UCCUACAGAUAAACCUGAUGUUGGCUGCUUCUGGAUUUAGGAGGAUUUUUGGGAAAGCUUCAUAGUAUUUUCAGAGGUAACCUAGAGGGGAAAAAAAAGUGGUUGCUGAAGGCAUUCUGGAUCUUGAGGAGAUCAUGAGGAGAAGAAACUGAAAUAGCUAAGUCUGAAUGUCGCAUCGUCUCCUGGAGCCUAGAUCUGUGUGUAUCUGCACUAUCUCAUUGAUCUCUAAAAAGUGACAUUGAUGCCAACUGCCAGAGCUGGUACCCAUGCCAUCUGCUAGUGACGUCACGGGGCAGAGAAGACCACGUGAGCCUUUCUCCUGGGACCUUCAUUCUGCACUGAUCAUCUGGCAUCCCUCUAAGUGGGUACCAGCAUUCAUGUAUCAACACAGAAGGCAAGAAACUGUUAAAUGGAUCUGACAAAGCCUCUCGGCUAAGCCCUGCCAUGGAGCUUAUGGCAAACUCCACCUUGGGUUUUUAGGAGUGGUUG
This is a long non-coding RNA of Nothoprocta perdicaria, 489 nucleotides long. RefSeq lists it as uncharacterized. The record is from RefSeq and is a predicted model, not a curated record. Lineage: Eukaryota; Metazoa; Chordata; Aves; Tinamiformes; Tinamidae. The transcript is spliced from 4 exons.